RNAcentral lists this ribosomal RNA (322 nucleotides) under uncultured eukaryote. RNAcentral describes it as "partial 18S ribosomal RNA". It matches the Rfam family "Eukaryotic small subunit ribosomal RNA", at positions 1470 to 1796 of the family's 1831-position model. The record is from RNAcentral.
CCCUUAGAUGUCCUGGGCCGCACGCGUGCUACACUGAGUGGAUCAGCGGGUCAGGUUGCGCGAAAGCGUUUCCUAAUCUUUAAAUCCGCUCGUGAUGGGGAUUGACGGUUGCAAUUUUCUGUCAUGAACGAGGAAUACCUUGUAAGCGCGGGUCAUCAUCCCGCGCUGAAUACGUCCCUGCCCUUUGUACACACCGCCCGUCGCUCCUACCGAUUGAGUGGUCCGGUGAGGCUUUGGGAUCUGAGCGGAAAGAGCGUUUCGCCGUUUCUGCUCGGAAAACUCAGUCGAACCUUAUCAUUUAGAGGAAGGAGAAGUCGUAACA